AUAUAUAUAUGACAGAGAUCGUUUUUAUCUGGCCCUCCAACUUGUUUUUGAGGUUUAAAUAUUCUCGCAAUCUGAUAUUAAAGUGAUCUCUGUGCCAAAGCUUAGCGCGUUCAUCAGUGGUGAGUUUAACAACACUCAACUGCAGGUAAAACAGCACUCAGCGGUGAGUUUGACCAAAGCAACACUCAACUGCAGGGAAAACGGCAUAAAAGGUGAGUUUAACAACGCUCCAAGGCGCGUGCAAGUAAGCAGUUUAACCGUUUUCUUACACACCAUUCUCGCUUAUCGCUUAUUCAUAGUUCAUCAUCUCUAUGAAAUCACGUUCAAGAAGUCUCAUUCAGCACACAUCGCGAUACUUGCCAUCAGUUUCCAUGUGCCACAGGGUCGAUGUAAAGGAAGCAGUCAUCCCUGUGGUGUUUGUGGAGAGGUUUUCCUUCAGAAAUGGAGAAGACUGAAAGCUGCGGAGGCAGACAUUUGCAGCAGAUUGUUCGCAGAUAAUGAUGUUCUUCUCGAUCAUGCACAAGGACUCACCUCUUUAACUCUUUAUCUUCCCAACACACACAGAAAUGCUCCCUUUAUCAGUGUUUAGACUUUGCAGUGCAGUUUUGUUUUAGUUCUAAGCUUAUAAUGAAUACAUUGUGACCUUCCAGCAACCCAUAUAUUGUAUACAGAACCAGUGAUCAAAACAAUGGUUGAAAAUAGUAUUUUUAUAUUGAUAAAGCAUUGUGUUCUCUUUUUCAAGCUUCAUACAGUAAACUUUACUUCUGGUGCUUUUAUCAUAAAAAAACAAACAUCAGUUCUCAUCAGGAGUUUUCGUAAAGGACGUAUUCAUGCACAGCCAUCCCCUAGUUCCAGUCAUGAAGUGAAUGAUGUUAUUGUCAGUUUUAUUUCUGCAAUUUUAUGUAGCAGGUGUUUGUUUUCCUGAACGUUAUCUUUCUUCCAUUGUUCGGACAAUCAGUGUUUAUUUGAUGCUGUGCUGAUGGAGGUUUAUAGAUGAUAUUGCACACUUGACAUGCAUGUCUUCAUGGUCUUUAUUUUCUGAGUUUGAAACAGUGUGUUGUAUCACUUUUUGGUCAAAUAAAUUCUUCAGUGUUCUCUGAAA
Long non-coding RNA from Carassius gibelio (silver crucian carp), 1102 nucleotides. RefSeq lists it as uncharacterized. NCBI's taxonomy places the organism in Eukaryota, Metazoa, Chordata, Actinopteri, Cypriniformes, Cyprinidae. The record is from RefSeq and is a predicted model, not a curated record. The transcript has 3 exons.